This 496-nucleotide ribosomal RNA is filed under the name uncultured bacterium. Its description in RNAcentral is "partial 16S ribosomal RNA". It matches the Rfam family "Bacterial small subunit ribosomal RNA", at positions 28 to 506 of the family's 1533-position model. The record is from RNAcentral.
GAUGAACGCUGGCGGCGUGCCUAAUACAUGCAAGUCGAGCGAACGGACGAGAAGCUUGCUUCUCUGAUGUUAGCGGCGGACGGGUGAGUAACACGUGGAUAACCUACCUAUAAGACUGGGAUAACUUCGGGAAACCGGAGCUAAUACCGGAUAAUAUUUUGAACCGCAUGGUUCAAAAGUGAAAGGCGGUCUUGCUGUCACUUAUAGAUGGAUCCGCGCUGCAUUAGCUAGUUGGUAAGGUAACGGCUUACCAAGGCAACGAUGCAUAGCCGACCUGAGAGGGUGAUCGGCCACACUGGAACUGAGACACGGUCCAGACUCCGACGGGAGGCAGCAGUAGGGAAUCUUCCGCAAUGGGCGAAAGCCUGACGGAGCAACGCCGCGUGAGUGAUGAAGGUCUUCGGAUCGUAAAACUCUGUUAUUAGGGAAGAACAUAUGUGUAAGUAACUGUGCACAUCUUGACGGUACCUAAUCAGAAAGCCACGGCUAACUACGU